GGAGAGGUGUCUGAGUGGUUUAAAGUACCGGUCUUGAAAACCGGCGUAACGUUAUGUUACCGAGGGUUCAAAUCCCUCCUUCUCCG
RNAcentral lists this transfer RNA (86 nucleotides) under Monomorphina parapyrum. RNAcentral's name for it is "tRNA-Ser". It matches the Rfam family "tRNA". From Rfam's summary of the family: Transfer RNA (tRNA) molecules are approximately 80 nucleotides in length. Their secondary structure includes four short double-helical elements and three loops (D, anti-codon, and T loops). The record is from RNAcentral. Lineage: Eukaryota; Euglenozoa; Euglenophyceae; Euglenales; Euglenaceae.